UUUGGGUUUUGUGUUCCAUUGAAUAAUUAAAACUAUUUUUGAACUUGAAUCUGGUUUUUGAAUUAUGUUAAGCGGCUCUGAAGUACCUGCAUUCGGGAGUCGUAACAAGGACAAACAGCUCAACAAGAAUUUUUUUACAUACUGAAUCCAACUGAGUUGAUAAAGAGUCAAAGAUGCUUGGUAUAACAUGGCUCUGUUUUACCCUCAUUAUAUCAAAGUACAUUCAAGUUAUCGUCAGCAAACAUUCUCAUGUCUGACCUUAUGAUGGAAAGAAGGUUAUUGAUGAAACAGCUGAAGACGGUCGGGCCUAGGACACUAUCCUGAGGAAGUCUUGGCCAGAGGAACACACUGGAGCUGAGAUGAUUGACCACCAUAUGCAUCGGAGAAAUGACAAUUAAUUAUUUUCUGGAGUGAAGUACGAUAAUAAUCUCGCCUGGACCGAUUUGUGCCACUCUGGAAAUUUGAUGAAGCAUCUCCCAGUGUGAGUUAUUCUAUUGAAUCAGACAUGGUUUCCACAUCAGGCUACAGGCAAUUAUGUCAUUUCUCAUGCAAAACCACUUAUGGAGCAUUGCAAGGGGGACAAGGACUCUGUUGCACUGUGAGUGCCUGUUGCUGGGCGUUCCUGGGUCAACAUGCCAUUACUAACUCAUCGCAUGAUUGGGAUGCCU
This is a long non-coding RNA of Amblyraja radiata (thorny skate), 668 nucleotides long. RefSeq lists it as uncharacterized. The transcript is spliced from 4 exons. NCBI's taxonomy places the organism in Eukaryota, Metazoa, Chordata, Chondrichthyes, Rajiformes, Rajidae. The record is from RefSeq and is a predicted model, not a curated record.